Molecule: ribosomal RNA, 630 nt
Filed under: uncultured fungus
Lineage: Eukaryota; Fungi
Description: eukaryotic LSU rRNA
Rfam family: Eukaryotic large subunit ribosomal RNA
Source: RNAcentral
CCCGCUGAACUUAAGCAUAUCAAUAAGCGGAGGAAAAGAAACCAACAGGGAUUACCCUAGUAACGGCGAGUGAAGCGGUAAUAGCUCAAAUUUAAAAUCUGACCUUUACCGGUCCGAGUUGUAAUUUGUAGAGGAUGUUUCGGGCAAGACAAAUUUGGUUUAAGUUUCUUGGAACAGGACGUCAUAGAGGGUGAGAAUCCCGUCUAGAACCGAUAGUCGAGUCCAUGUGAAACUCCUUCGACGAGUCGAGUUGUUUGGGAAUGCAGCUCAAAAUGGGUGGUAAAUUUCAUCUAAAGCUAAAUAUUGGCCAGAGACCGAUAGCGCACAAGUAGAGUGAUCGAAAGAUGAAAAGCACUUUGAAAAGAGAGUUAAACAGUAUGUGAAAUUGUUGAAAGGGAAGCGCUUGCAACCAGACUUGUGUAUAACGGUUCCCCCAAUCAUUUGAUUGGGUUAUUCUGUUAUAUCCAGGCCAGCAUCGGUUUGGAUGGUUGUUUAAAGACCUUAGGAAUGUAUCUACCCUUCGGGGUCGACUUAUAGCCUAAAGUGUAAUACAGCCUAUCUAGACCGAGGAACGUGCUUUUUGCUCGGAUGCUGGCAUAAUGGUUGUAAGCGGCCCGUCUUGAAACACGG